AUUGAUUCUAACGGGUGUUUCACUUUAUUGUGGAACUGAGAUCAUACCGUUCUAACUCGAUCAAGAUAAUGCUUGCGUGAGGACCUGAAUACUUUGUUUCU
RNAcentral lists this non-coding RNA (101 nucleotides) under Hansenula anomala. Its description in RNAcentral is "Wickerhamomyces anomalus TPP sequence". It matches the Rfam family "TPP riboswitch aptamer (THI element)". Rfam says of the family: Vitamin B(1) in its active form thiamin pyrophosphate (TPP) is an essential coenzyme that is synthesised by coupling of pyrimidine and thiazole moieties in bacteria. The record is from RNAcentral. Lineage: Eukaryota; Fungi; Ascomycota; Saccharomycetes; Phaffomycetales; Wickerhamomycetaceae.